Molecule: ribosomal RNA, 185 nt
Filed under: Hygrophorus hedrychii
Lineage: Eukaryota; Fungi; Basidiomycota; Agaricomycetes; Agaricales; Hygrophoraceae
Description: partial 28S ribosomal RNA
Rfam family: Eukaryotic large subunit ribosomal RNA
Source: RNAcentral
CAAAUCAGGUAGGACUACCCGCUGAACUUAAGCAUAUCAAUAAGCGGAGGAAAAGAAACUAACAAGGAUUCCCCUAGUAACUGCGAGUGAAGCGGGAAAAGCUCAAAUUUAAAAUCUGGCAGUCUUUUGGCUGUCCGAGUUGUAAUCUAGAGAAGUGCUUUCCGCGYUGGACCGUGUACAAGUCU